GAGUAAGAGGUAUAACAGGUGUAAAAUUGAUGUAUUCACCAAUUAAAUUCGCUUCACGCGACCAUUAAAUUUUUCUUUCCAGUAGCCUUUCGACAUGUCCGCAAUCGCUACACCUGUGCUUGUUUGCGCUCCAAUGAAUUUUCCAUCACCGACAUAAAUGCCGACAUGUCCAUCUUUUUUAUAAGUGUCAAAGAACACAAGAUCACCCGGCUGUAUUUCACUAGGCGGAACCGGCUUUCCUAAAUGCUUGAGCGUUUCUGUGCUAGUUGAACUUAACGGACCU
RNAcentral lists this non-coding RNA (283 nucleotides) under Bacillus methanolicus MGA3. Lineage: Bacteria; Bacillati; Bacillota; Bacilli; Caryophanales; Bacillaceae. The record is from RNAcentral.